AGUGAACGCUGGCGGUAGGCCUAACACAUGCAAGUCGAACGGCAGCACAGUAAGAGCUUGCUCUUACGGGUGGCGAGUGGCGGACGUGUGAGGAAUACAUCGGAAUCUACUUUUUCGUGGGGGAUAACGUAGGGAAACUUACGCUAAUACCGCAUACGACCUACGGGUGAAAGCAGGGGAUAUUCGGACCUUGCGCGAUUGAAUGAGCCGAUGUCGGAUUAGCUAGUUGGCGGGGUAAAGGCCCACCAAGGCGACGAUCCGUAGCUGGUCUGAGAGGAUGAUCGGCCACCUUGGAACGUAGACACGGACCAGACUCCUACGGGAGGCAGCAGAGGGGAAUAUUGGGCAAUGGGCGCAAGCCUGAUCCAGCCGUACCGCGUGGGUGAAGAAGGCCUUCGGGUUGUAAAGCCCUUUUGUUGGGAAAAAAAAGCAGCAGGUUAAUACCCCGCUGUUCUGACGGUACCCAAAGAAUAAGCACCGGCUAACUUCGUG
RNAcentral lists this ribosomal RNA (492 nucleotides) under uncultured bacterium. RNAcentral describes it as "partial 16S ribosomal RNA". It matches the Rfam family "Bacterial small subunit ribosomal RNA", at positions 29 to 507 of the family's 1533-position model. The record is from RNAcentral.